AUUGAACGCUGGCGGCAUGCUUUACACAUGCAAGUCGGACGGCAGCACAGAGAAGCUUGCUUCUUGGGUGGCGAGUGGCGAACGGGUGAGUAACAUAUCGGAACGUACCGAGCAGUGGGGGAUAACUAAUCGAAAGAUUAGCUAAUACCGCAUAUCUUCUGAGGAAGAAAGCAGGGGACCAUUUGGCCUUGCGCUGUUUGAGCGGCCGAUAUCUGAUUAGCUAGUUGGUGGGGUAAAGGCCUACCAAGGCGACGAUCAGUAGCGGGUCUGAGAGGAUGAUCCGCCACACUGGGACUGAGACACGGCCCAGACUCCUACGGGAGGCAGCAGUGGGGAAUUUUGGACAAUGGGCGUAAGCCUGAUCCAGCCAUGCCGCGUGUCUGAAGAAGGCCUUCGGGUUGUAAAGGACUUUUGUCAGGGAAGAAAAGGGCGGGGUUAAUACCCCUGUCUGAUGACGGUACCUGAAGAAUAAGCACCGGCUAACUACGUG
This 490-nucleotide ribosomal RNA is filed under the name uncultured bacterium. RNAcentral describes it as "partial 16S ribosomal RNA". It matches the Rfam family "Bacterial small subunit ribosomal RNA", at positions 30 to 507 of the family's 1533-position model. The record is from RNAcentral.